AUUAAUUCAUAGUAUUAGUGUAAUUUAGGAUAAAUUAGGGUACAAAUAUUGAUUGAAAAAGAUUUAGGGGGUGUCCUAAGUGAUCAAGUAUACUGAUUUUAUAACGUUAAAAUGAAAUGUAUGGGUUUCCUCAUGGGAGUCUAAGUUCAAUAGGAAAGGAUUUUUACUUAAUCUAAUGAUGAUUAUUUCUUAACAUUAGUGUAGUUUAGGAUAUAUUAGGGUACAAAUAUUGAUUGAAAAAGAUUUAGAUGGUUUCCUAAGUGAAUAACAAUACUGAAUUCAUAACGUUUAAAUUAAAAUUAUGGGUUUCUUCAUGGGAGUCUAAGUUCAAUAGGAAAGGAUUUUUACUUAAACUAAUGGCGAUUAUUUCUUAGUAUUAGUGUAAUUUAAGAUAAAUUAGGAUACAAAUAUUGAUUUAAAAAAUUUAGGGGGGGUUCCUAAAUGAAUACUAUACUGAUUUUAGAACGUUAAGAUGAAAAUUAAGGGUUUCCUUAUGGAAGUCUAAGUUCAAUAGAAAGGAUUUUUACUUAAACUAAUGAUGAUUAAUUCAUAGUAUAAGUGUAAUUUAGGAUAAAUUAGGGUACAAAUAUUGAUUGAAAAAGAUUUAGAUGGUUUCCUAAGUGAAUAAGUAUACUGAAUUCAUAACGUUUAAAUUAGAAUUAUGGGUUUCUUCAUGGGAGUCUAAGUUCAAUAAAAAAGGAUUUCUACUUCAACUAAUGGUGAUUAUUUCUUAGUAUUAGUGUAAUUUAAGAUAAAUUAGGAUACAAAUAUUGAUUUAAAAAAUUUAGGGGGGGGGGGGGUUCCUAAAUGAAUACUAUACUGAUUUUAGAACGUUAAAAUGAAAAUUAAGGGUUUCCUUAUGGAAGUCUAAGUUCAAUAGAAAGGAUUUUUACUUAAACUAAUGAUGAUUAAUUCAUAGUAUUAGUGUAAUUUAGGAUAAAUUAGGGCACAAACAUUGAUUGAAAAAGAUUUAGGGGGUGUCCUAAGUGAUCAAGUAUACUAAUUUUAUAACGUUAAAAUGAAAUGUAUGGGUUUCCUCUUGGGAGUCUAAAUUUAACAGAAAAGGAUUAAACUUACAUUAAUGGUGAUUAUUUCUUAGUAUUAGUGUAAUUUAAAAUAAAUUAAGGUACAAAUAUUGAUUGAAAAAUUUAGGGGGGGGGGUUUCCUAAAUGAAUACUAUACUGAUUUUAGAACGUUUAAAUGAAAAUUAAGGGUUUCCUUAUGGAAGUCUAAGUUCAAUAGGAAAGGAUUUUUACUUAAACUAAUGAUGAUUAAUUCAUAGUAUUAGUGUAAUUUUGGUUAAAUUAGGGCACAAACAUUGAUUGAAAAAGAUUUAGGGGGUUCCUAAGUGAUCAAGUAUACUGAUUUUAUAACGUUAAAAUGAAAAUUAUGGGUUUACUCAUGGGAGUCUAAAUUUUACAGAAAAGGAUUUAACUUACACUAAUGGUGAUUAUUUCUUAGUAUUAGUGUAAUUUAGAAUAAAUUAAGGUACAAAUAUUGAUUGAAAAAUAUUUAUGGGGUUUCCGAAGUGAUUUAGUAUACUGAUUUAAGAGCGUUAAAAUGAAAAGUAUGAGUUUCCUCAUGGGGGUCUAAGUUCAAUAGGAAAGGAUUUUUACUUAAACUAAUGAUGAAUAUUUCCUAGUUUUAGUGUAGUUUAGGAUAAAUUAGGGUACAAAUAUUGAUUGAAAAAGAUUUAGGGGGUGUCCUAAGUGAUCAAGUAUACUGAUUUUAUAACGUUAAAAUGAAAAUUAUUGAUUUCCUUAUGGGAGUCUAAAUUUUACAGAAAAGGAUUUAACUUACACUAAUGGUGAUAAUUUCUUAGUAUUAGUGUAAUUUAGAAUAAAUUAGGGUACAAAUAUUGAUCGAAAAAUAUUUAUGGGGUUUCCGAAGUGAUUUAGUAUACUGAUUUAAGAGCUUUAAAAUGAAAAGUAUGAGUUUCCUCAUGGGGGUCUAAGUUCAAUAGGAUAGGAUUUUUACUUAAACUAAUGAUGAAUAUUUCCUAGUUUUAGUGUAGUUUAGGAUAAAUUAGGGUACAAAUAUUGAUUGAAAAAGAUUUAGGGGGUGUUCUAAGUGAUCAAGUAUACUAAUUUUAUAACGUUAAAAUGAAAAUUAUUGGUUUCCUUAUGGGAGUCUUAAUUUUACAGAAAAGGAUUUUUAACUUACACUAAUGGUGAUUAUUUCUUAGUAUUAGUGUAAUUUAGAAUAAAUUAAGGUACAAAUAUUGAUUGAAAAAGAUUUAAGGGGUUUCCUAAGUGAUUUAGUAUACUGAUUUAAGAGCGUUAAAAUGAAAAGUAUGAGUUUUUUCAGGGGGGUCUAAGUUCAAUAGGAAAGAACUUUUACUUAAACUAAUGGUGAUUAUUUCUAAGUGUUAAUGUAGUUUAGGAUAAAUUAGGGUACAAAUAUUGAUUGAAAAAGAAUUAAGGGUUUCCUUAGUGAUUAAGUAUACUGAUUUUAUAACAUUAAAAUGAAAAGUAUGAGUUUCCUCAUGGGAGUCCAAGUUCAACAGGAAUGGAUUUUGACUUAAACCAAUGGUUAUUUUUUCUAAGUGUUUAUGUAAUAAAGUAUAAAUUAGGGAAUAAAUAUUGACUGAAAAAUAUUUAGGGGGUUUCCGAAGUGAAUAAGUAUACUGAUUUUAGAACGUUGAAUGAAAAUGAUGGGUUUCCUCAUGGGAGUCUAAAUUCAACAGGAAAAGAUUUUACCUAAACUAGGGGUGAUAAUUUUUUUAGUAUUAGUGUAAAUAAAGAUAAAUUAGGGUACAAAUUAUAUUGAUUGAAAAAGAUUUAAGGGGUUUCCUAUGUGAUUAAGUAUACUGAGUUUAGAACGUUAAAAUAAAAAGUGUGGGUUUCUUCAUGGGGGUCUAAGUUCAACAGGAAAGGAUUUUUACUUACACUAAUGGUUAUUUUUUCUUAGUAUUAGUGUAAUUUAGGAUUAAUUAGGGUACAAAUAUUGAUUGAAAAUGAUUUAAGGGGUUUCCUAAGUGAUUUAGUUUACUGAUUUUAUAAUGUUAAAAUGAAAAGAAUGAUUUUCCUCAUGGGUGUGUAUGUUCAAUAGGAAAGGAUUUUUACUUAAACUAAUGGUAAUUAUUACAUAGUAUUUGUGUAAUUUAGGAUAAAUAAAGGUACAAAUAUUGAUUUAAAUAAAUUUAGGGAGUUUCCUUAGUGAUCAAGUAUACUGAAUUUGUGGCGUUAAAAUUAAAAGUAUAAAUUUACUCAUGGGGUUCUAAGUUCAACAGGAAAGGAUUUUUACUUAAACUAAUGGUGAAUAUUUCUUAGUGUUAAUGUAAUUUAAGACAAAUCAGGGCAGAAGUAAAGAUCCAAGAAUAUUUAUGAGGUUUUUGGAGUGAAUAAGUAAACUGAAUUUUUAAUGUUGAAAUGAAAAGCAUGGGUGUCCUCAUGGAGGUCUAUUUAGUUCAAUAGGAAAGGAUUUUUAUUUAAACUAUAAUGGUGAUAUAGGUUGUUUUUUUUAAUAAUCAAUUACAUGUACAUCAUGUAUACUGAUUUUUUCAAGUUAAAAGCAAAAGAUAUUGGUUUCCUCAUGGGGGUCCAAUACUUUACAAAAGGAUUAUUUUAUAUACCCACGGUGAUUAUUUCAUUGCAUUAAUGAACUCAACAUGUAACCAAUAUUAUUCUUCUUUUUUACAUUUUCUUUUCGAGACUCAAAACCAAAAAUUUUGUUUGCAAAUAGUGACUGAAGUGCCUCAAUAUGAUGUAGAUGUUGGAUAUUGUGCUUUUCCAGAGAAAUGGCCCAAAAUGGAAAGCAUCUGCAGACAAUGACUGAUACGUUUUUUGAUGCAGAUGUUUAAAAUGAUGCUUUUGAAGGAAAAAUAUCCAAGGUAAAUGAGGUUUCCUGAGAAAAGUGUUUGUCUCACAUGGAAAAGCCAUUGUCUAAGAUUAUACAUAUUAAGCACCAGUGUUCAGACAUAGGUUAACUUCCUAGAUAGACGAUUGAGGACCAAUAGUGUCAACGGAAAAAAAUCUACGCCAUGAAUAUUGCUUUAAUCAAUACUGGUUUAGAAACGAUAAUGAAACUCUGGUACAUUUUUUAUUGAUCGUGUGGUUUUCAUGUAUUCUCCCAAAAAUGAAGAUAUGAGAGAAUUAAUACACUUUUUACGUGUACAUGUACGUGUAAAUUC
This is a long non-coding RNA of Magallana angulata, 4132 nucleotides long. RefSeq lists it as uncharacterized. The record is from RefSeq and is a predicted model, not a curated record. The transcript has 4 exons. Lineage: Eukaryota; Metazoa; Mollusca; Bivalvia; Ostreida; Ostreidae.